GGUUCGACGAUUCCGAUUCUCUUCACAAUGAAAAUUUUAUAUGCUGCAAUCAUUUUCGUCAUCGUUCUCACUCUCUCUUCAGUCAGGGGAUUGAAUAAUGAGGCUUCAGCCUGGAUUCCGGAGCACAGAUGCAGCGAAAAAAUCCAAAUAGGCCAAUGCGAGUCGAACAAAUGCAUGAAGAAAUGCUUUGAAAAGUCACAAGGCCGAGGAAGAUGCGUAGAUAACUCAUACUGCAUAUGCACGUUUUACUGCCAUGGACCUCCCAAAUAAUUCUCUAUUGUAUUUUUCUCUGUUUUUUUGUGUAAUGUCUCGUCACACUCGACGUGCAUAAAAAUUUAUUAAAAAUACAAAUUCUUGUCGGCAU
Long non-coding RNA from Erythranthe guttata (spotted monkey flower), 364 nucleotides. RefSeq lists it as uncharacterized. Lineage: Eukaryota; Viridiplantae; Streptophyta; Magnoliopsida; Lamiales; Phrymaceae. The record is from RefSeq and is a predicted model, not a curated record.